This is an RNA transcript of Phoenix dactylifera (date palm), 1422 nucleotides long. It is a transcript of the gene named putative protein phosphatase 2C 62, with no coding region annotated. The record is from RefSeq and is a predicted model, not a curated record. Lineage: Eukaryota; Viridiplantae; Streptophyta; Magnoliopsida; Arecales; Arecaceae.
CAAGCAAGGUGUCGACAUCACAAAGAGCGGCCACCGAGCGGCCACCGUCGCCUCAGAAUACCACGACUGGAUCUCCGUCAAUCAUCCACACGGAGCCUCUCUUCAACAAUACAAAGCUCUUCUUCUUGCCUGCCUUCCUUGGGUGUAUAAUUUGUGCGAGAAAAAAAUCUGUGUUUAAUUUAUUCUUUAUUUUGGAUAGAAGUAGCAGCGGGAGGAAUCACACAAAUUAUAAUGACGGGAAGAGAGAUCUUGCACAAGAUGAAGGUUAAGGCUGGGUUUGGUUCAUCUACAUCAGAUACUGGAAAAGGCAAGAGCAAGAUAUCAGGCAAGCAUAUCAGACAUGGAUAUCACUUGGUGAAGGGGAAAUCAAGUCAUCCAAUGGAGGACUAUCUAGUGGCAGAAUUCAAACAAGUGGGUGAUUGUGAGCUGGGUUUGUUUGCUAUUUUUGAUGGUCACUUGGGCCAUGAUGUUCCAAAUUACCUGCGCUCUCAUCUAUUCGAAAACAUCUUGAGAGAGCCUGAAUUUUGGAGUGACACAGCAGGUGCCAUUAGGAAAGCAUAUAUAAUAACUGACAGUAAAAUAUUGGAGCAAGCAGUUGAGCUGGGAAGAGGGGGUUCUACUGCAGUUACAGCUAUAUUGAUAGAUGGUGUGAAGCUUGUGGUAGCCAAUGUUGGAGAUUCACGAGCAGUGAUUUGCAGGAAUGGUGUUGCUACACAACUUUCUGUUGAUCAUGAACCAAGCAGGGAGCGUCAAUCAAUUGAGGGCAAGGGUGGUUUUGUGUCAAAUAUUCCUGGAGAUGUGCCACGUGUGGAUGGGCAGCUGGCAGUGGCAAGAGCCUUUGGAGACCGCAGCCUGAAGGUACACCUCAGUUCUGAGCCAGAUGUGGUGGAAAAGAUGAUAGAUGAUGACACAGAGGUACUAAUCCUUGCAAGCGACGGUUUAUGGAAGGUAAACACAAUUUUGUUGAUCUAAGAUAGAUUCUCGCAUCACUAGACAUUACUCGAAACUCCCAUGUUUCAAUGGUGAGCCUCCAACCUAGGUAUGGUCUGUCUCCAUACGACCGGCAUCACCAGUCGUUAAACUAAUGUGAUGUCCAACCAGGAGGCAGCGGAUGCGAUCAAAGAUAUAAAGGAUGCCCAGGCAGCAGCCAAACAUCUGACAGAGGCAGCUGUUGCCCGGAAGAGCUCAGAUGACAUCUCUUGUAUAGUUGUAAAGUUUAAUUAAACUCUUCUGGAGUUGAGUGUCUUCUUGACAUGCAUCUAUAUGUUGGCUACCAGAUAAGCUUAUAACCUGAUUGCUUGAGAAUAAUUCACGUUGAUAUUGAUCAUGUUUGCAAAAUACAAUGGAUAAAUUAUACAAAAUAAACUACCUGUUAGGAUUAUGCUAUGAUGUAAUGGCCAUAGCACACAAUACAUUGCAAAA